RNAcentral lists this ribosomal RNA (582 nucleotides) under Tetra pinnatifidae. RNAcentral's name for it is "partial 28S ribosomal RNA". Lineage: Eukaryota; Metazoa; Arthropoda; Arachnida; Trombidiformes; Eriophyidae. The record is from RNAcentral.
AAAUAGAACUUUGCAGAGAGAGUUAACAGGGCGUGAAACCGUUGAUUGGCAAACGAAUCGGAGCCACGAAGUCGUUUCGCUGUUAGUUGGGCGGAGUUCAGUUCGCGCCGAAAGACGCGGGCGUAUUCUCACGCUCAUCCAACUUUGUAAGCGUACACUGCAACCUGUUAGACGAUCAGCUGUGGGCUGAGUGACGUAGAGCGAGCAAUCGCGCUGCGGCACGCAUUGUCUGUUCGCUCGCGGUAGUAGUAGCGCAACUGACUUCGGUCUUUCUGUGUUGCCGGCCGCGUGGCGGGUGAACUACAGCUGAAUACUGACAGGCGAAAUGAAAACCGUUUAAAAACGUUAGAGAAAAUGCAGUUGGCCACAUGGAUGUCUACACGUUCGACUGUUAGGUCUAAGCUUGGCAUUUUUGAAUUCAGACCUGCUUGCUACCAGUGGGGCAACUCCUGGUGCUUGUAUGGCUUCUGUCUAAUCGGGUGUCGACUUGGCUUGGCAUCGUUCGGGCGUGAAUCGAUCGGAUGUUUAUGUGAGCUAAUUCGCAAUUUGAAUUGGCAGUGAGUAGGUCGGCUUUCCGAACGA